AUGUGUAGCAGUGAAAUGCGUAGAGAUGUGGAAGAACACCUAUGGCGAAGGCAGCUCCCUGGGUUGACACUGACGCUCAUGCACGAAAGCGUGGGGAGCAAACAGGAUUAGAUACCCUGGUAGUCCACGCCCUAAACGAUGUCAACUGGUUGUCGGAUCUAAUUAAGGAUUUGGUAACGUAGCUAACGCGUGAAGUUGACCGCCCGGGGAGUACGGUCGCAAGAUUAAAACUCAAAGGAAUUGACGGGGACCCGCACAAGCGGUGGAUUAUGUGGAUUAAUUCGAUGCAACGCGAAAAACCUUACCUACCCUUGACAUGUCAGAAAGUUUCCAGAGAUGGAAUCGUGCUCGAAAGAGAAUUUGAACACAGGUGCUGCAUGGCUGUCGUCGGCUCGUGUCGUGAGAUGUUGGGUUAAGUCCCGCUACGAGCGCAACCCUUGUCAUUAAUUGCCAUCAUUUAGUUGGGCACUUUAAUGAGACUGCCGGUGAUAAACCGGAGGAAGGUGGGGAUGACGUC
RNAcentral lists this ribosomal RNA (517 nucleotides) under uncultured ammonia-oxidizing bacterium. RNAcentral describes it as "bacterial SSU rRNA". It matches the Rfam family "Bacterial small subunit ribosomal RNA", at positions 671 to 1186 of the family's 1533-position model. The record is from RNAcentral.